GUAGUCUCGCACAGAUGCAUAUCAAUAAGCGGAGGAAAAGAAACUAACAAGGAUUCCCCUAGUAACGGCGAGUGAAGCGGGAAGAGCUCAAAUUUGAAAUCUUAAAGGGUUUCCCUUUACGAAUUGUAGUUUAAAGAAGUGUUUUCUGUUGAGGUUUUGGUAAAAGUUCUUUGGAAUAGGACAUCAUAGAGGGUGAGAAUCCCGUAUUUGACCUUUACUUUCAACUUUGUGAUACACUUUCAAAGAGUCGGAUUGUUUGGGAAUGCAGUCCAAAAUGGGUGGUAAAUUUCAUCUAAAGCUAAAUAUUGGCGAGAGACCGAUAGCGAACAAGUACCGUGAGGGAAAGAUGAAAAGAACUUUGAAAAGAGAGUUAAACAGUACGUGAAAUUGUCAAAAGGGAAGCGUUUGACACCAGUGUUGUUUUUCUGAAAAUCAAUUAAAGAACUGUUUAUGCUAAGUUGUUUAGACUUUAUCAGCUAUCUGUUUAGUUUUGAGCUUUUCUUUAAUGCACUUUUCAGUUAACAAGUCAACAUCAAUUUCUUUUGCUGUAAAAAAGCUUGAGGAAGGUGGCUUGAGAUUCGUCUUAAGUGUUUAUAGCCUCUUGCCUAUGCAGUCGGAGAGAUUGAGGUCUGCAGCGUAGAUCCUUCGGGGCUAAAUGCAUUUGUGCUAAGUUAUAGCAUUUUAUAGACAACUUGUUGACUAUGAUUUGUCUUGUAGCUUACUCGCUUAUGUUAUUUUACCUACGCUUAGGAUGUUGACGCAUGAGAUAUACGC
Molecule: ribosomal RNA, 774 nt
Filed under: uncultured Neocallimastigales
Lineage: Eukaryota; Fungi; Neocallimastigomycota; Neocallimastigomycetes; Neocallimastigales
Description: partial large subunit ribosomal RNA
Rfam family: Eukaryotic large subunit ribosomal RNA
Source: RNAcentral